Long non-coding RNA from Eucalyptus grandis, 365 nucleotides. RefSeq lists it as uncharacterized. NCBI's taxonomy places the organism in Eukaryota, Viridiplantae, Streptophyta, Magnoliopsida, Myrtales, Myrtaceae. The record is from RefSeq and is a predicted model, not a curated record. The transcript has 4 exons.
GGGAGGCUUUUACUGGAAAUGGUCUCUGUUGUUCCCGAUGGGAUUGUAUGCUUUUUCGUUAGUUACUCAUACAUGGAUGAAAUUGUCAACAGUUGGAAUGAAAGUGGGAUUUUGAAGGAAAUAAUGCAACAUGCUUGUCUUUAUUGAGACACAGGAUGUGGUUGAAACUACACUGGCUCUGGACAAUUAUCGCAGGGCUUGUGAUUGUGGGAGGAGGUGCUGUCUUUUUCUCUGUUGCCAGGGGUAAGGUAGCUGAAGGAAUUGAUUUUGAUCGACAUUAUGGUAGAUUAGUGAUCAUGUUUGGUAUUCCCUUCCAAUAUACCCUGAGCAAAAUAUUGCUAGCACGGUUGGGUAUCUUAUUGAUA